Molecule: ribosomal RNA, 484 nt
Filed under: Oecanthus sp. FGu
Lineage: Eukaryota; Metazoa; Arthropoda; Insecta; Orthoptera; Gryllidae
Description: partial 16S ribosomal RNA
Rfam family: Bacterial large subunit ribosomal RNA
Source: RNAcentral
CUUCUUGAAUAUAUAAGAAGUCUUAUCUGCUCACUGAUAUAUUAAAGAGCCGCGGUAUAUUGACCGUGCAAAGGUAGCAUAAUCAUUAGUCUUUUAAUUGAGGGCUGGAAUGAAUGAUGUGACGAAAUAAAUACUGUCUCUUGAUGAAUUAUUUAAUUUUACUUUUAAGUUAAAAGGCUUAAAUAAAUAAAAGGGACGAGAAGACCCUAUAGAUCUUAAUAUUAAAAUUUAAUGAUUUUAAGUCAGUGGUUUUAUGAAUUAUUGUGUUUUAAUAUUUCAUUGGGGUGAUGUGAAAAUUAUUAAACUUUUUAUUGGGUAACUGGAAUAAUAGGAAUUUUGAUCUUUUGUAGAAAAAAUAGAUAAAGAUACCUUAGGGAUAACAGCGUUAUUUUAUUUGAGAGUUCAUAUCGACAAUAAAGUUUGCGACCUCGAUGUUGGAUUAAGAUAAUUACUUGAUGAAGGAGUCAAGUUAAUUGGUCUGUUC